Molecule: ribosomal RNA, 1321 nt
Filed under: Salmonella enterica
Lineage: Bacteria; Pseudomonadati; Pseudomonadota; Gammaproteobacteria; Enterobacterales; Enterobacteriaceae
Description: partial 23S ribosomal RNA
Rfam family: Bacterial large subunit ribosomal RNA
Source: RNAcentral
AGCUCGAUGAGUAGGGCGGGACACGUGGUAUCCUGUCUGAAUAUGGGGGGACCAUCCUCCAAGGCUAAAUACUCCUGACUGACCGAUAGUGAACCAGUACCGUGAGGGAAAGGCGAAAAGAACCCCGGCGAGGGGAGUGAAAAAGAACCUGAAACCGUGUACGUACAAGCAGUGGGAGCACAGGUUUACCUGUGUGACUGCGUACCUUUUGUAUAAUGGGUCAGCGACUUAUAUUCUGUAGCAAGGUUAACCGUAUAGGGGAGCCGUAGGGAAACCGAGUCUUAACCGGGCGUUAAGUUGCAGGGUAUAGACCCGAAACCCGGUGAUCUAGCCAUGGGCAGGUUGAAGGUUGGGUAACACUAACUGGAGGACCGAACCGACUAAUGUUGAAAAAUUAGCGGAUGACCUGUGGCUGGGGGUGAAAGGCCAAUCAAACCGGGAGAUAGCUGGUUCUCCCCGAAAGCUAUUUAGGUAGCGCCUCGUGAAUUCAUCUCCGGGGGUAGAGCACUGUUUCGGCUAGGGGGCCAUCCCGGCUUACCAACCCGAUGCAAACUGCGAAUACCGGAGAAUGUUAUCACGGGAGACACACGGCGGGUGCUAACGUCCGUCGUGAAGAGGGAAACAACCCAGACCGCCAGCUAAGGUCCCAAAGUCAUGGUUAAGUGGGAAACGAUGUGGGAAGGCCCAGACAGCCAGGAUGUUGGCUUAGAAGCAGCCAUCAUUUAAAGAAAGCGUAAUAGCUCACUGGUCGAGUCGGCCUGCGCGGAAGAUGUAACGGGGCUAAACCAUGCACCGAAGCUGCGGCAGCGAACGUAUCACCCAAGACAACUUUACGGAGUUGACGAUUGACGGAGCGAAGCGACGUCAAAGCGUUCAUUAAAGUCGAGUUGGCUUAGGGAUACGUUCGUUGGGUAGGGGAGCGUUCUGUAAGCCUGUGAAGGUGUGUCGUGAGGCAUGCUGGAGGUAUCAGAAGUGCGAAUGCUGACAUAAGUAACGAUAAAGCGGGUGAAAAGCCCGCUCGCCGGAAGACCAAGGGUUCCUGUCCAACGUUAAUCGGGGCAGGGUGAGUCGACCCCUAAGGCGAGGCCGAAAGGCGUAGUCGAUGGGAAACGGGUUAAUAUUCCCGUACUUGGUGUUACUGCGAAGGGGGGACGGAGAAGGCUAUGUUGGCCGGGCGACGGUUGUCCCGGUUUAAGCGUGUAGGUGUGUGUUCCAGGUAAAUCCGGUUCACUUUAACACUGAGGCGUGACGACGAGGCACUACGGUGCUGAAGCAACAAAUGCCCUGCUUCCAGGAAAAGCCUCUAAGCAUCAGGUAACAC